This 402-nucleotide ribosomal RNA is filed under the name uncultured Caulobacter sp. RNAcentral describes it as "bacterial SSU rRNA". It matches the Rfam family "Bacterial small subunit ribosomal RNA", at positions 355 to 774 of the family's 1533-position model. Lineage: Bacteria; Pseudomonadati; Pseudomonadota; Alphaproteobacteria; Caulobacterales; Caulobacteraceae. The record is from RNAcentral.
UGGGGAAUUUUGGACAAUGGGCGAAAGCCUGACGCAGCCAUGCCGCGUGAAUGAUGAAGGUCUUAGGAUUGUAAAAUUCUUUCACCGGGGACGAUAAUGACGGUACCCGGAGAAGAAGCCCCGGCUAACUUCGUGCCAGCAGCCGCGGUAAUACGAAGGGGGCUAGCGUUGCUCGGAAUUACUGGGCGUAAAGGGCGCGUAGGCGGAUAGUUUAGUCAGAGGUGAAAGCCCAGGGCUCAACCUUGGAAUUGCCUUUGAUACUGGCUAUCUUGAGUAUGGAAGAGGUAUGUGGAACUCCGAGUGUAGAGGUGAAAUUCGUAGAUAUUCGGAAGAACACCAGUAGCGAAGGCGACAUACUGGUCCAUUACUGACGCUGAGGCGCGAAAGCGUGGGGAGCAAACA